This 200-nucleotide ribosomal RNA is filed under the name uncultured bacterium. RNAcentral describes it as "partial 16S ribosomal RNA". It matches the Rfam family "Bacterial small subunit ribosomal RNA", at positions 30 to 232 of the family's 1533-position model. The record is from RNAcentral.
AUUGAACGCUGGCGGCAGGCCUAACACAUGCAAGUCGAGGGGUAUGGUUCUUCGGAACCAGAGACCGGCGCACGGGUGCGUAACGCGUAUGCAAUCUACCUUUUACAGAGGGAUAGCCCAGAGAAAUUUGGAUUAAUACCUCAUAGUAUAACAUGACCGCAUGGUCGAGUUAUUAAAGUCACACGGUAAAAGAUGAGCAU